Cucurbita moschata (crookneck pumpkin) is the source of this 262-nucleotide long non-coding RNA. RefSeq lists it as uncharacterized. NCBI's taxonomy places the organism in Eukaryota, Viridiplantae, Streptophyta, Magnoliopsida, Cucurbitales, Cucurbitaceae. The transcript has 3 exons. The record is from RefSeq and is a predicted model, not a curated record.
GUCAAAUGUAAUUGAUUACGAAAAGAAUGAAAAUUUGAGUUUGGGACAAAAAGAAACUCACACAAAUUCCUUCAAGGUACCGAAAGAUCAAGCGUAACAAGAAAAUAAGGGUUGUCAUGAUCCACAAAUAAACAACACCAAACACAAAUCCCCACAUCAAAUGAAACAAAAAGCGAACGAUCAUAACAUUCAUCACAAUCAUCAAAAGCAUAAAUUAACAAAAUCAUUCCAUUUCACAAAAUCAUCAUACUAAUAAUAAUAA